This 243-nucleotide ribosomal RNA is filed under the name uncultured bacterium. RNAcentral describes it as "partial 16S ribosomal RNA". It matches the Rfam family "Bacterial small subunit ribosomal RNA", at positions 534 to 776 of the family's 1533-position model. The record is from RNAcentral.
GCAAACGUUGUUCGGAAUUACUGGGCGUAAAGCGCAUGUAGGCGGCCAAGCAGGUCGGAUGUGAAAUCCCUCGGCUCAACCAAGGAAGUGCAUUCGAAACCGCAUGGCUCGAGUCCCGGAGAGGAAGGUGGAAUUCUCGGUGUAGAGGUGAAAUUCGUAGAUAUCGAGAGGAACACCGGUGGCGAAAGCGGCCUUCUGGACGAGGACUGACGCUGAGAUGCGAAAGCGUGGGGAGCAAACAGG